Long non-coding RNA from Gossypium arboreum, 371 nucleotides. RefSeq lists it as uncharacterized. The record is from RefSeq and is a predicted model, not a curated record. NCBI's taxonomy places the organism in Eukaryota, Viridiplantae, Streptophyta, Magnoliopsida, Malvales, Malvaceae. The transcript is spliced from 2 exons.
UCAACCCCAUGGCCGAAUAUAGCAAGGAGAAACCAUGGCUAGGGUUUUUCAAGCUUCCAAGCUCGAUUAGCGAGGAAAACUGAAAUUCGGGCUAAAAUGGAAAAAUACCAAGUUGUGGAUGAAAUGGUAAAAGUAGCCAUUUUCGCAUACGAGUUUUGAACAAGCCAGCUCGGGAAUCGGGACGGGUCGAAGGUUCGAUCACACUAUCCAAAGGACUUUCAUCGGGUAAAUGGCUUGUAAAACUUAAGUAUGGCAUGUAUAGCAAUAUAUUUAUUUUGUGUAAAUAAUUUUAUGAUAUGGCCAUGAUUGGUUGAGAAAAUGUUUGAUAUUGAUAAGUCAUGGUGAUGGUUAAAUUUAGAUCAUGUUUGAUA